GAGCACUGUUCGUGACCUAUUAGUCUGCCGUGGCUCAUGGGUUCCAUUCCAGUGCGAAAGAAAGUCCAACGACCCAUUUCUGACUGACUCGAUCAGGCUUUCAGACUAAGGUCUUGGAGACAGCA
This is a small nucleolar RNA of Sorex araneus (European shrew), 125 nucleotides long. The record is from RefSeq and is a predicted model, not a curated record. NCBI's taxonomy places the organism in Eukaryota, Metazoa, Chordata, Mammalia, Eulipotyphla, Soricidae.